Molecule: ribosomal RNA, 237 nt
Filed under: uncultured Staphylococcus sp.
Lineage: Bacteria; Bacillati; Bacillota; Bacilli; Caryophanales; Staphylococcaceae
Description: partial 16S ribosomal RNA
Rfam family: Bacterial small subunit ribosomal RNA
Source: RNAcentral
CGGGUGAGUAACACGUGGAUAACCUACCUAUAAGACUGGGAUAACUUCGGGAAACCGGAGCUAAUACCGGAUGAUAUUUUGAACCGCAUGGUUCAAAAGUGAAAGACGGUCUUGCUGUCACUUAUAGAUGGAUCCGCGCUGCAUUAGCUAGUUGGUAAGGUAACGGCUUACCAAGGCAACGAUGCAUAGCCGACCUGAGAGGGUGAUCGGCCACACUGGAACUGAGACACGGUCCAG